RNAcentral lists this ribosomal RNA (253 nucleotides) under uncultured bacterium. RNAcentral describes it as "partial 16S ribosomal RNA". It matches the Rfam family "Bacterial small subunit ribosomal RNA", at positions 524 to 776 of the family's 1533-position model. The record is from RNAcentral.
UACGGAGGGUGCAAGCGUUAUCCGGAUUCACUGGGUUUAAAGGGUGCGUAGGCGGUCAGGUAAGUCAGUGGUGAAAUCUCUGGGCUUAACCCAGAAACUGCCGUUGAUACUAUUUGUCUUGAAUAUCCUGGAGGUAGGCGGAAUAUGUCAUGUAGCGGUGAAAUGCUUAGAUAUGACAUAGAACACCGAUAGCGAAGGCAGCUUACUACAGGAUGAUUGACGCUGAGGCACGAAAGCGUGGGGAGCAAACAGG